This is a long non-coding RNA of Amphibalanus amphitrite, 373 nucleotides long. RefSeq lists it as uncharacterized. The record is from RefSeq and is a predicted model, not a curated record. NCBI's taxonomy places the organism in Eukaryota, Metazoa, Arthropoda, Thecostraca, Balanomorpha, Balanidae. The transcript is spliced from 3 exons.
GACCGGUCGCCGUUUGUGAGAAAUCUGGCGGCUCUUUACGUUCGGGAGCCGGCCCGUCAUUUAGUGGCCGCGUUUGCUCGCGUGUCUUUGACGAGUUUGGCGCACGAGACGCAUCCAAAUUGUCGACCACGCAGGCUCAUUCUUGAAUGAACCACUGGUGUCGAGGGCCGUCGGCCGUCCAGCUGAGUGUGAGCAGCUGAGCCGCGGACCUACGAGUGCGGACUGAGAUUGAGCCAGCCGCUGCCACUGUUUUUGUUCCACCGUCGUGCCCAAACAUAUCUGAAAACCGUCCGUCUGUUUGUCUCUCCGACCGACUGUCUGUUGGUACAUCACUGCCUGCUUGCUGCUCCUUGAAUACCAUUUGUUUCAUGAC